RNAcentral lists this ribosomal RNA (794 nucleotides) under uncultured bacterium. Its description in RNAcentral is "bacterial SSU rRNA". It matches the Rfam family "Bacterial small subunit ribosomal RNA", at positions 8 to 796 of the family's 1533-position model. The record is from RNAcentral.
AGAGUUUGAUCAUGGCUCAGAUUGAACGCUGGCGGCAUGCCUUACACAUGCAAGUCGAACGGCAGCGCGGGGCAACCUGGCGGCGAGUGGCGAACGGGUGAGUAAUAUAUCGGAACGUACCCUGGAGUGGGGGGAUAACGUAGCGAAAGUUACGCUAAUACCGCAUACGAUCUAAGGAUGAAAGUGGGGGAUUCGCAAGAACCUCAUGCUCCUGGAGCGGCCGAUAUCUGAUUAGCUAGUUGGUGGGGUAAAGGCCUACCAAGGCAUCGAUCAGUAGCUGGUCUGAGAGGACGACCAGCCACACUGGAACUGAGACACGGUCCAGACUCCUACGGGAGGCAGCAGUGGGGAAUUUUGGACAAUGGGCGAAAGCCUGAUCCAGCAAUGCCGCGUGAGUGAAGAAGGCCUUCGGGUUGUAAAGCUCUUUUGUCAGGGAAGAAACGGUGUGGGCUAAUAUCCUGCACUAAUGACGGUACCUGAAGAAUAAGCACCGGCUAACUACGUGCCAGCAGCCGCGGUAAUACGUAGGGUGCAAGCGUUAAUCGGAAUUACUGGGCGUAAAGCGUGCGCAGGCGGUUUUGUAAGUCUGUCGUGAAAUCCCCGGGCUCAACCUGGGAAUUGCGAUGGAGACUGCAAGGCUAGAAUCUGGCAGAGGGGGGUAGAAUUCCACGUGUAGCAGUGAAAUGCGUAGAGAUGUGGAGGAACACCGAUGGCGAAGGCAGCCCCCUGGGUCAAGAUUGACGCUCAUGCACGAAAGCGUGGGGAGCAAACAGGAUUAGAUACCCUAGUAGUCC